Molecule: long non-coding RNA, 487 nt
Filed under: Ananas comosus (pineapple)
Lineage: Eukaryota; Viridiplantae; Streptophyta; Magnoliopsida; Poales; Bromeliaceae
Description: long non-coding RNA (ACOM_LNC001628)
Source: RNAcentral
UACAUCAAUUCGAUCAACUGUUGAUUUUAGAGUAACUGUUGAUUUUGGUUGCAUAAUUUUAUAAAUGGUUAAUUUCAUACAAAUUCCUACAAACAUAGUGAAUAACAAAUAUAUCUAUAUAAAGUUAAGCUUUUAUAUGUUGUAUCUACAAAAGUCCUGAUAUUUUCAAAUUUGUCCUUAUCGUUAGAAUCCGUUAGAAAAAUUUAGUUAGCCAUAGGUUAAAUAUUUAACCCUGAUUAUUUUCUGACAUUUUUAUUCCUCUUAUAUAAUACUGUUAUGACUUUUAGAGAAUAUAUUUGUGAUGGCAAAAUUAAAAAUAUACACAGUUUUCUAACGGUUCUCUAACAAUAAUAAACCAGAAGGACAUAUUUGAAAAUAUCAGAAUUUUUACAAGAACAAUAUAUGAAAAUUAAACUUUGUAGGAAUAUAUUUGUUAUUCGCUAUAUAUAUUUACAAGAACAUGUAUAGAAUUAACCAUUUUAUAAAA